This 240-nucleotide ribosomal RNA is filed under the name uncultured Chryseobacterium sp. Its description in RNAcentral is "partial 16S ribosomal RNA". It matches the Rfam family "Bacterial small subunit ribosomal RNA", at positions 796 to 1041 of the family's 1533-position model. Lineage: Bacteria; Pseudomonadati; Bacteroidota; Flavobacteriia; Flavobacteriales; Weeksellaceae. The record is from RNAcentral.
CACGCCGUAAACGAUGCUAACUCGUUUUUGGAUUUUCGGAUUCAGAGACCAAGCGAAAGUGAUAAGUUAGCCACCUGGGGAGUACGUUCGCAAGAAUGAAACUCAAAGGAAUUGACGGGGGCCCGCACAAGCGGUGGAUUAUGUGGUUUAAUUCGAUGAUACGCGAGGAACCUUACCAAGACUUAAAUGGGAAAUGACAGAUUUAGAAAUAGAUCCUUCUUCGGACAUUUUUCAAGGUGC